AAGCUAAAAUUUUUAAAAGAAACACCUACACCGGCCAUCACUCACACUCACAUAAACACUCAGGAGGCAGAUAGACAAUCGACAGGUCCGUUAAAAAGAGCACCGGAUAAGAUGUUACCUGUCUAGUAGCCUUCUGGAUGCAGGAAGGACGCGGAGAUAGACCGACACAAAACAGGAGUAUACAGACAACGGCUGUAUGGUGGAGGUGAUCAGGCUCCGGGUGUCCC
Non-coding RNA from Pelobates cultripes (western spadefoot toad), 227 nucleotides. The record is from the annotation of a GenBank genome assembly. Lineage: Eukaryota; Metazoa; Chordata; Amphibia; Anura; Pelobatidae.